AUCCAGCGGACGAGUCCCAACUAGGACGAAGUGACGCACGUCCUAGAU
Molecule: non-coding RNA, 48 nt
Organism: Schistosoma haematobium
Lineage: Eukaryota; Metazoa; Platyhelminthes; Trematoda; Strigeidida; Schistosomatidae
Source: Rfam